CGCCCAAUAGGAAUAAAAAAGGAAAAAAAGAAGGCCAAAGCAGCUAAAUCUCAAGAUGCAUCCUCUCAACUUGUUGAGCUUAGGGCAAUGCAAGAGUCGCAAAAAGAAAGAUUUGCAGAAAUAGCAGAAUUGAAACAACAAAAGGAGACGCAUUUCCAAAUAAGAGAAAGAGAGGUAACUUUGAAGGAGUAUGAAAUUAUCAUGAAGGACACAUCUGAUAUGAC
This 224-nucleotide long non-coding RNA is filed under the name Lotus japonicus. RNAcentral's name for it is "long non-coding RNA (LJAP_LNC000422)". Lineage: Eukaryota; Viridiplantae; Streptophyta; Magnoliopsida; Fabales; Fabaceae. The record is from RNAcentral.